This 74-nucleotide transfer RNA is filed under the name Listeria fleischmannii. Its description in RNAcentral is "tRNA-Arg". It matches the Rfam family "tRNA". Rfam says of the family: Transfer RNA (tRNA) molecules are approximately 80 nucleotides in length. Their secondary structure includes four short double-helical elements and three loops (D, anti-codon, and T loops). The record is from RNAcentral. Lineage: Bacteria; Bacillati; Bacillota; Bacilli; Caryophanales; Listeriaceae. RNAcentral also lists the same sequence under 5 other names.
GUCCUGGUAGCUCAGUAGGAUAGAGCAACAGCCUCCUAAGCUGUGGGUCGGGGGUUCAAUUCCCUCUCAGGACG